Molecule: long non-coding RNA, 136 nt
Organism: Condylura cristata (star-nosed mole)
Lineage: Eukaryota; Metazoa; Chordata; Mammalia; Eulipotyphla; Talpidae
Exons: 3
Source: RefSeq, a predicted model, not a curated record
AAAACCUGGAGAGAAAUUGUUUCAGGAUUAUGAAAUAUCAUAUCCUCAAGGGGUGAAAUUAUCCUGAUAACCCUUCGACAAAUGAUACUCAGGUACAUUUUUAGCACUAUAAGAUAUUUUGAGUUACCUAUGUUGU